UACAGAGGUGGCAAGCGUUGUUCGGAUUUACUGGGCGUAAAGGGCUCGUAGGUGGCCAAUUAAGUCGGACGUGAAAUCCCCAGGCUCAACUUGGGAACUGCGUCUGAUACUGGUUGGCUUGAAUUCGGGAGAGGGAUGCAGAAUUCCAGGUGUAGCGGUGAAAUGCGUAGAUAUCUGGAGGAAUACCGGUGGCGAAGGCGGCAUCCUGGACCGAGAUUGACGCUGAGGAGCGAAAGCCAGGGGAGCAAACGGG
This 253-nucleotide ribosomal RNA is filed under the name uncultured bacterium. RNAcentral's name for it is "partial 16S ribosomal RNA". It matches the Rfam family "Bacterial small subunit ribosomal RNA", at positions 524 to 776 of the family's 1533-position model. The record is from RNAcentral.